GGGGCGUUUCAUAGAGAGGAGACAGUACAUGGGAAGCCACCAAGUCUAAAGGAAACAUGGCACCUUCUGAGAGGCUGAUAGUGCUUUGACAUGGCUGUAGCCUUGCUUAGAAUCAAUUUUCCAUCUAAAAUCUCUCUGUUCUCACUCUUACAACAAUGAAAAGCCAUUGAGCAGUAUCAGCUGGGCAUAGAUAACAUCGAGUUUGCAUUUUCAAAGAUCCUCCUGGUCAAAAUGUGGAGUUAGGAGUGUGGAUGAUGUCCAAGACAUUUGCAGUUUUCCAAGUGUAACAAGAUGCAAGCUUGCCAGAGAAAAGCCAAAAUUCCUGAAAAUUUUGGAAUGUUUUUGAGCACACGGGACUUCACCUUAUACAUGGAGAUGAUGGAAAGUGAAAAAUUGAAGAUGACACCUGGAAUAGGGUCUCAGGCAAUCAGUUUGAGCUUUGUAGGCAUCCAGAGAAAAUAAGAGAUGUCUGAUGAUUAGGCGAGAACUUGAGGCUGAGGACAUAUCAUCAUACUACACAGUUGACCCUUGAACAAUAAGAAUUGGAACUGUGUGAGUCCACUUAUACGUGGAUUUUCUUCUGCCUCUGCGACUCCUGAGACAGCAAAACCAACCCUUCCUCUUCCUCUUCAGCCUACUCAACAUGAAGACAAGGAGGAUGAAGAGUUUUGUGAUAAUCCACUUCCACUUAAUGAAUACAGUUGGAGUCCAUCUUCAAGAAAUGUUUACAAAGAGCUUCUUCUGGAUGGUGUUUGAAUGCACACAUGCAUGAGAACAAGUUUAUUUUGCCACUACAUUUGAAUGAAACCUUGAUUAUAAAAUUCAAGGUUUAUAAUAUUAACAUUUUUUCCCUCCAAAAUUUGAAUAUGUUUACUCUUUAUCCUUGGGAAUUUACUUUUUGGUGGAAAAGUCUGUAAUUAGCUUGGUAUUUAUUUCUUAGUACACAAACGCAUGUAUUUGCUUGGAUGCCAGUAGAUAUUUUUUAUUCCUAUAAUUCAGACAUGUUGUUAGCACUCCCGCACUUCCUUAAUUUUAUCUCGACAAUGACAGGCUUUUUGACCUCUGAAUUCAAGUUGUACAUUCUAGUUUGCCAUUCAUCAAUCAGUCUCCAGUUAAUGACUGCAUUUGCUCCAAUUAUUCUUGCCCUUGACUUGACUCUGGUGAAGGAAGCGUUUGUAAUUCUCAUGUUGGGACUCUGUCCUCUUACUCAUAUUCACCCAUUGAGGUUUACCCCCUGUUCUUUGCUUCACAUCAUGGGAGAGAACCAUUUUUCUUCAUGUCACCAACUUGAUCUUCCACAGUGUCAAUUUCUCAGGAAAAUGGAACUAUCUGACUUCCUCCACUGAGGGCUGGAAAUUCUACCCUUGAAAUUCUAUCAAGCCAGAGAUUUUCCUUAUUUUUCUCCAGUUCUUUCUUUAUAUCCAUGCCAGCUCUGUGUAGUUCAUCACAUCAUCUUUUAAUAUCAACUCACAUGGCAGAUUGCUUUUGUUGAAACUAUGAUUUUAUUAUUAUAAAAGUUCUUCUGUAGAAAACUUUUUAAAGAAUGUUCUUUGAAUACAUUGGUACAACAUUCAAACAAACAGAAUAAUUCUUUUUUAAAAGUGAUUUAAAAAGAAAUAUAAAAAUAUAAAAGAGGAACUGUGAGAUUUGGGGGCCAGAGUGAGACACUAUCACAUUACUUUAAUAGGAGUUUCAUAAAAGAUAAGUGGCUAGAGAAUGGAUGGAGUUGUAAAUAAACAACAUUUGAAAAGA
Long non-coding RNA from Homo sapiens (human), 1752 nucleotides. RefSeq annotates it as long independently transcribed non-coding RNA 3114. NCBI's taxonomy places the organism in Eukaryota, Metazoa, Chordata, Mammalia, Primates, Hominidae. The record is from RefSeq and is a predicted model, not a curated record. The transcript is spliced from 4 exons.